RNAcentral lists this microRNA precursor (125 nucleotides) under Myotis lucifugus (little brown bat). RNAcentral describes it as "mir-9193 microRNA precursor family". It matches the Rfam family "mir-9193 microRNA precursor family". Lineage: Eukaryota; Metazoa; Chordata; Mammalia; Chiroptera; Vespertilionidae. The record is from Rfam by way of RNAcentral.
UGUGCACCGGUGGGGUCCCUCGGCCUGGCCUGCACCCUCUCACAAUCUGGACCCCUUGGGGGAUGUCAGAGAGUCGGUUUCACCCCGAUCCUGCAGGCCAGGCCGAGGGACCCCACUGGUGCAUG